GGUAAAAGCGUUAUAUUGAAGCUAUAGAAAUGGGAGUUCAAUUCUCUCCCGGGGCAAAGGCUAUAAUUAUAA
Molecule: transfer RNA, 72 nt
Filed under: Lentinula edodes (shiitake mushroom)
Lineage: Eukaryota; Fungi; Basidiomycota; Agaricomycetes; Agaricales; Omphalotaceae
Description: tRNA-Phe
Rfam family: tRNA (bases 1-56)
About the family: Transfer RNA (tRNA) molecules are approximately 80 nucleotides in length.
Source: RNAcentral